This 253-nucleotide ribosomal RNA is filed under the name uncultured bacterium. Its description in RNAcentral is "partial 16S ribosomal RNA". It matches the Rfam family "Bacterial small subunit ribosomal RNA", at positions 524 to 776 of the family's 1533-position model. The record is from RNAcentral.
UACGGAGGGUGCAAGCGUUAAUCGGAAUUACUGGGCGUAAAGCGUGCGCAGGCGGUUUGUUAAGUCUGAUGUGAAAUCUCACAGCUUAACUGUGAAACUGCAUUGGAUACUAUCCGGCUCGAGGAAUGGAGGGGAGACUGGAAUACUUGGUGUAGCAGUGAAAUGCGUAGAUAUCAAGUGGAACACCAGUGGCGAAGGCGAGUCUCUGGACAUUUCCUGACGCUGAGGCACGAAAGCCAGGGGAGCAAACGGG